UCCCCGUUAUCCGGGGCGGUUUCGCUAGAGUGCCCGACUUGACUCGCUGGCAACUAACGAUAAGGGUUGCGCUCGUUGCGGGACUUAACCCAACAUCUCACGACACGAGCUGACGACAGCCAUGCAGCACCUGUGUACUGGUUCUCUUUCGAGCACUCCCCGAUCUCUCAGGGAUUCCAGCCAUGUCAAGGGUAGGUAAGGUUUUUCGCGUUGCAUCGAAUUAAUCCACAUCAUCCACCGCUUGUGCGGGUCCCCGUCAAUUCCUUUGAGUUUUAAUCUUGCGACCGUACUCCCCAGGCGGUCGACUUCACGCGUUAGCUGCGGUACUAAGGAAGUCUCCUUCCCCAACACCUAGUCAUCAUCGUUUAGGGCGUGGACUAC
This 381-nucleotide unclassified non-coding RNA is filed under the name uncultured Gammaproteobacteria bacterium. Its description in RNAcentral is "contains 16S-23S intergenic spacer region". The record is from RNAcentral. Lineage: Bacteria; Pseudomonadati; Pseudomonadota; Gammaproteobacteria.